GAUGAACGCUGGCGGCGUGCCUAAUACAUGCAAGUCGAGCGAACGGACGAGAAGCUUGCUUCUCUGAUGUUAGCGGCGGACGGGUGAGUAACACGUGGAUAACCUACCUAUAAGACUGGGAUAACUUCGGGAAACCGGAGCUAAUACCGGAUAAUAUUUUGAACCGCAUGGUUCAAAAGUGAAAGACGGUCUUGCUGUCACUUAUAGAUGGAUCCGCGCUGCACUAGCUAGUUGGUAAGGUAACGGCUUACCAAGGCAACGAUGCAUAGCCGACCUGAGAGGGUGAUCGGCCACACUGGAACCGAGACACGGUCCAGACUCCUACGGGAGGCAGCAGUAGGGAAUCUUCCGCAAUGGGCGAAAGCCUGACGGAGCAACGCCGCGUGAGUGAUGAAGGUCUUCGGAUCGUAAAACUCUGUUAUUAGGGAAGAACAUAUGUGUAAGUAACUGUGCACAUCUUGACGGUACCUAAUCAGAAAGCCACGGCUAACUACGUGCCAGCAGCCGCGGUAAUACGUAGGUGGCAAGCGUUAUCCGGAAUUAUUGGGCGUAAAGCGCGCGUAGGCGGUUUUUUAAGUCUGAUGUGAAAGCCCACGGCUCAACCGUGGAGGGUCAUUGGAAACUGGAAAACUUGAGUGCAGAAGAGGAAAGUGGAAUUCCAUGUGUAGCGGUGAAAUGCGCAGAGAUAUGGAGGAACACCAGUGGCGAAGGCGACUUUCUGGUCUGUAACUGACGCUGAUGUGCGAAAGCGUGGGGAUCAAACAGGAUUAGAUACCCUGGUAGUCCACGCCGUAAACGAUGAGUGCUAAGUGUUAGGGGGUUUCCGCCCCUUAGUGCUGCAGCUAACGCAUUAAGCACUCCGCCUGGGGAGUACGACCGCAAGGUUGAAACUCAAAGGAAUUGACGGGGACCCGCACAAGCGGUGGAGCAUGUGGUUUAAUUCGAAGCAACGCGAAGAACCUUACCAAAUCUUGACAUCCUUUGACAACUCUAGAGAUAGAGCCUUCCCCUUCGGGGGACAAAGUGACAGGUGGUGCAUGGUUGUCGUCAGCUCGUGUCGUGAGAUGUUGGGUUAAGUCCCGCAACGAGCGCAACCCUUAAGCUUAGUUGCCAUCAUUAAGUUGGGCACUCUAAGUUGACUGCCGGUGACAAACCGGAGGAAGGUGGGGAUGACGUCAAAUCAUCAUGCCCCUUAUGAUUUGGGCUACACACGUGCUACAAUGGACAAUACAAAGGGCAGCGAAACCGCGAGGUCAAGCAAAUCCCAUAAAGUUGUUCUCAGUUCGGAUUGUAGUCUGCAACUCGACUACAUGAAGCUGGAAUCGCUAGUAAUCGUAGAUCAGCAUGCUACGGUGAAUACGUUCCCGGGUCU
RNAcentral lists this ribosomal RNA (1372 nucleotides) under uncultured bacterium. RNAcentral's name for it is "bacterial SSU rRNA". It matches the Rfam family "Bacterial small subunit ribosomal RNA", at positions 28 to 1381 of the family's 1533-position model. The record is from RNAcentral.